AGCUAAUACUCGGUUCUUAUUGGUGAUGCUUCCAAUCAUUUCAACAACAACUGGAGAGCCGAAGGCCAUCCAUUAUUUUCAUAUACUAAGUCUGAACCAGCUUUAAAGGGACACUAUAGACACCAAAACAACUUUAGCUUAAUUAAGCAGUUUUGGUGUAUAGAUCAUGCCCUAGAGUCUUUUGGUAAAUUAUCUGCCAUUUAGGAGCAGAAUCACUUUGUUUAUGCAGCCCAAGCCACACCUCUCCGCAUGUUACUUAUACAGCCUUCCUAAGCACUUCCUGUAAAUAUAUCUAAAUAUGCAUAUUUUGUUUAAUUUAGAAUGUCUUAUCUUCUACUCUAAUAACCUUUUAGACCUUGCAGGAGCCUCAGGUGUGUAAUUAAAGGUAAAAUUACAGAGCAGGAGAGAAAAAAAAUCUAAAGCAAGUUAACAUCUGAUUGAAAAUGUAACCGUUUUCAUUCAUGCGGGCUGUGUGAGUCUCAGC
Non-coding RNA from Pelobates cultripes (western spadefoot toad), 484 nucleotides. The record is from the annotation of a GenBank genome assembly. NCBI's taxonomy places the organism in Eukaryota, Metazoa, Chordata, Amphibia, Anura, Pelobatidae.